GUAGGUGAACCUGCGGAAGGAUCAUUAACACGUAUCCACGUUUAAUCACCGCGAAUUCUUAGGGUAGGCUUAUUUGAGAAAAGGCCUUUACUUGGAGAAUCAAACGAAGUCUGUUCAGAAAAGCCGAACCAGAGAGCUGAUCUGUGGGACCAGAAUCUCGGGGAAGGACUUAGUAUGAGGAGGACUGCGAGUGAGGUCAAUUGACUCAAUCAAAGUGUGUCCAUCGAAUCCUACCUUGUCAGUGGGAAUU
This 250-nucleotide unclassified non-coding RNA is filed under the name plant metagenome. RNAcentral describes it as "partial contains small subunit ribosomal RNA, internal transcribed spacer 1, and 5.8S ribosomal RNA". The record is from RNAcentral.